AGUGAACGCUGGCGGUAGGCCUAACACAUGCAAGUCGAACGGCAGCACAGUAAGAGCUUGCUCUUACGGGUGGCGAGUGGCGGACGGGUGAGGAAUACAUCGGAAUCUACUUUUUCGUGGGGGAUAACGUAGGGAAACUUACGCUAAUACCGCAUACGACCUACGGGUGAAAGCAGGGGAUCUUCGGACCUUGCGCGAUUGAAUGAGCCGAUGUCGGAUUAGCUAGUUGGCGGGGUAAAGGCCCACCAAGGCUACGAUCCGUAGCUGGUCUGAGAGGAUGAUCAGCCACACUGGAACUGAGACACGUUCCACACUCCUACGGGAGGCAGCAGUGGAGAAUAUUAGACGAUGGGCGCAAGCCUGAUCCAGCCAUACCGCGUGGGUGAAGAAGGCCUUCUGGUUGUAAAGCCCUUUUGUUGGGAAAGAAAAGCAGCAGGUUAAUACCCCGCUGUUCUGACGGUACCCAAAGAAUAAGCACCGGCUAACUUCGUG
Molecule: ribosomal RNA, 492 nt
Filed under: uncultured bacterium
Lineage: Bacteria
Description: partial 16S ribosomal RNA
Rfam family: Bacterial small subunit ribosomal RNA
Source: RNAcentral